This 263-nucleotide unclassified non-coding RNA is filed under the name plant metagenome. RNAcentral's name for it is "partial contains small subunit ribosomal RNA, internal transcribed spacer 1, and 5.8S ribosomal RNA". The record is from RNAcentral.
UUUCCGUAGGUGAACCUGCGGAAGGAUCAUUAUUGUAUAACCGAGGUGCGAGGGCUGUCGCUGACCCGAAAGGUCGUGCACGCCCGAGUGCCCUCACACACAUCCACCUCACCCCUAUGUGCACCACCGCGUGGGUCCCCCUUUGGCUUGUUCGGAGGGGGGCUUACGUUUUCACACAAACUUUGUAUGCAGUGUAGAAUGUAUUUUUUGUUCUUGCGAUCACGCAAUCAAUACAACUUUCAACAACGGAUCUCUUGGCUCUC